GCCGGGGUGGUGGAAUUGACAGACACGAUCGACUUAAGAUCGAUUGGGCGAAAGCCCGUGAGGGUUUGAGUCCCUCCCCCGGCA
RNAcentral lists this transfer RNA (84 nucleotides) under Candidatus Uhrbacteria bacterium. RNAcentral's name for it is "tRNA-Leu". It matches the Rfam family "tRNA". Rfam says of the family: Transfer RNA (tRNA) molecules are approximately 80 nucleotides in length. Their secondary structure includes four short double-helical elements and three loops (D, anti-codon, and T loops). Further hydrogen bonds mediate the characteristic L-shaped molecular structure. tRNAs have two regions of fundamental functional importance: the anti-codon, which is responsible for specific mRNA codon recognition, and the 3' end, to which the tRNAs corresponding amino acid is attached (by aminoacyl-tRNA synthetases). tRNAs cope with the degeneracy of the genetic code in two manners: having more than one tRNA (with a specific anti-codon) for a particular amino acid; and 'wobble' base-pairing, i.e. permitting non-standard base-pairing at the 3rd anti-codon position. The record is from RNAcentral. Lineage: Bacteria; Candidatus Uhriibacteriota.